UUAUGUUCGGGAAAGAUUGACCGGGGUUGUAGGCUGGGAUGAUGAUUUCGUGGCUGUUGGUGCUGUUUAUAUUACAUACAUGAAAUUGACGAUCAUUACAGUGUUGGUUGUGAAUGGAUACUAUGCUGGUAGAGGGGAACAAAUAAUGUAGUGUGUUUUCCAUGUAAAUAUGAUUGGUAAGGUUUAUAGUUCAGCUCUCUUUCACUUUGAAAAUUUUGUUUGUUAAAUUUCUGAUGUUGAUCUAAUUAUCAUACAUAGCAUUCAAUUGUUGGUGAAUAUUAUAUAUUAGCCAUGAAUCGGGGAAUUUGUUGCUGAGAUGGUCUUAAAGAAAGGUGGCAAAAAUUGAACGAGUCUCCACCUUUAGCUGGUGCCACUGAUAAGAUGCACCUUUUAGUUGCACUGAAUUUUGAUAUGUUUGUCUGAAUUUUGCAACCAUAAGCGAAACAGGCACACGGGCUCGUGAUUGUAGCGGUGAAGUGGUGGCUGAUGCCUUUUGGUUGUUUGAUAUGGGUUUGUGGUGUAGAGCUAUGAAAGUGAUGGUGAAUCUAAUGUUGCUGAGCUGAAGGUUGGAAGAAAGGAGGCUAAUGGCAGAUUCCGGAACUUUGUUGAGAGAAUGGGGAAUCACUGUACAUAAUUCUGGAAUGUAUACGAGUGUUCUGUCUCUGUAUAGCAUGGGUUUUGUUUAAUUAUUUUUAUGUCAAUGUGAUUUUUGCAAAUUUUUUUUUUUUUAACUUGUUCAGGGAAACUUGAUUUUCGUA
Non-coding RNA from Camellia sinensis, 758 nucleotides. Lineage: Eukaryota; Viridiplantae; Streptophyta; Magnoliopsida; Ericales; Theaceae. The record is from RefSeq and is a predicted model, not a curated record.